CAUUUAUAUAUUUGAACAAAUGUACAAAAGAUCACACGAGACAAUGUAUAAAUUCGCAAUCGAACGCACGUUAUUAUACAUAUGCGACAAUCGAUCUAUAAAAACAACAGCCUGCGAAAUUGCUUUGAUACGCUUAAAAAAGUAAACAGGUGUCCUUCGCGGUAUCGUCGGUGUCGCAACAGUCUUCCUCACCGUCUUGCGCCGCCUGCCCUUGCUGCAGAGCGCGGCGCUUUUGCAAACGCGCGCACCGCGGGCAGCAAUGAUUGCGUUUAGACCAGCAAACACGAUGGUGCACUGCCGAGCAUUGCUGGCAAAUAAUCGAGCUAGCAUCCCACGGAUAAAUAACCUCGUCGUUGCCGCAUAUCUCGCAUAGGUGUCCCCUGAAAAUUUUAAUAUUGAUCUCAAUCGAGUCGCAUCGUAAAAUGGAGGGAACGCAUCUUUCUCCAAGCCCAAACGCUCACCUGGCUCUGCACAGCUCGCAUUGCUCCGUGAUAUGUGAGUGCAUCGUGUCAUAGGCGGUGCGGAGUUCGUCUAGGAGAACGCCGGUCUGUAGGUCGAUGAGGUCCUUGAUCGAAUAGUUACCCGAAUUCUCAAUCAUGUGCGUGCGCAAGCAAAUCCUCCACGGUAAACCUUGGGUACAGGCUUCCUCGCACAACACCAAGUAUCUUUUCAUCAUCUGCAUCUCUUCUCGCAUUCGCUAAGGAACUAAGUCACUCACCUUGACCAGCGACAAAUCUGGGACCAAAGUGAACAGCUUUGGGUUCAGUUCCUCCAGAGGCAGUACAGAACGGUCCUCUAACAGCAUCAGAAGCUGCGCCGCAGCGCGAGACACCAGACGUGGUUCCAUGUCCCAGUUCCGGAUUACUCUGGCGGGUAUCACCAUAGCUGUAUUCCAGUGGCAUCUUUGACAGUAAUACAGGCCACUGUAGUCGCAUAGACGCGGUUCCACCCACGUUGACUCUAAAAACGUUAUUUCUUAUCAACAUAUUAUUAUUAUAUCUCAACGGAGAUACGUACAACCGUGAAGAAUGUAAUCUGUCUGUAAUUAUAAGUCCUUGUAGCUCCGCAUUCGUGAAAUCUUUUCGCGGAAAAAGAGCUACUUCGAGUCUCCUUCAUACAAUUGCGCGUGAUAAGUAUCUGUGUAUGAUAAACAAAAGCGGAACUACAAGGUGUGGAUCAUGCAAAUACGAUCUAUCAUGUCUGAUAUUGAUAAUGUCAUCGAUGCAUUGAUAUCGUAGGUCGAAUACCUGUAUUCUUAAAGGAACUGCCGAAGCAAGAUAGCGAUAAUCCUUUUGAGAAAGCUUGCAAGAGGACAAGAAUACUAUUAUCUCAUUAAGGCAAUUGCGCUACUUACGUACUAAUAAACGGAAUAACGAGCUUCCAUGAACACAUAA
Odontomachus brunneus is the source of this 1394-nucleotide long non-coding RNA. RefSeq lists it as uncharacterized. The transcript is spliced from 4 exons. Lineage: Eukaryota; Metazoa; Arthropoda; Insecta; Hymenoptera; Formicidae. The record is from RefSeq and is a predicted model, not a curated record.